Molecule: ribosomal RNA, 339 nt
Filed under: Triticum aestivum (bread wheat)
Lineage: Eukaryota; Viridiplantae; Streptophyta; Magnoliopsida; Poales; Poaceae
Description: partial small subunit ribosomal RNA
Source: RNAcentral
AUGAGUAACACAACCAUCCCAAUAAUGAAUUGGAACGUCCGUGGACUGAACUCUCUGGCGAAGAGGGCCACCAUUUGCGAGGUAGCCGACGCCCAUAGCCUCGCUCUGUUGUGUUUGCAAGAGACGAAGAUCGACGCCUGGUCGCCAGAGAUGGUCAGGGAGGUAGGAGGCCGCAGACUUGACAACUGCAUCGUGCUACCAGCGUUGGGCACCCGAGGCGGCGCCGCGAUCUUCUAGGACUCCACCAAGAUCACAAUCACCACACAAUUUGUAGGGUAAUUCUCCAUCACUGCCAGAGCGUUCCUGCCCCACGGUGGCCUCUCCUUCUGGAUCACCACU